UGCCUUUCCGUAGGUGAACCUGCGGAAGGAUCAUUACCGAGUGAGGGCCCUCUGGGUCCAACCUCCCACCCGUGUUUAUUUACCUUGUUGCUUCGGCGAGCCUGCCUUUUGGCUGCCGGGGGACGUCUGUCCCCGGGUCCGCGCUCGCCGAAGACACCUUAGAACUCUGUCUGAAGAUUGUAGUCUGAGAUUAAAUAUAAAUUAUUUAAAACUUUCAACAACGGAUCUCUUGGUUCCGGCAUCGAUGAAGAACGCAGCGAAAUGCGAUACGUAAUGUGAAUUGCAGAAUUCAGUGAAUCAUCGAGUCUUUGAACGCACAUGCGCCCUCUGGUAUUCCGGAGGGCAUGCCUGUCCGAGCGUCAUUGCUGCCCUCAAGCACGGCUUGUGUGUUGGGCUCCGUCCUCCUUCCGGGGGACGGGCCCGAAAGGCAGCGGCGGCACCGCGUCCGGUCCUCAAGCGUAUGCCCGCUUUGUCACCCGCUUGUAGGACUGGCCGGCGCCUGCCGAUCAACCAAACUUUUUUCCAGGUUGACCUCGGAUCAGGUAGGGAUACCCGCUGACUUAAGCAUAUCAAUAAGCGGAGGA
RNAcentral lists this ribosomal RNA (584 nucleotides) under Penicillium brevicompactum. RNAcentral's name for it is "eukaryotic LSU rRNA". The stretch from base 210 to 362 matches the Rfam family "5.8S ribosomal RNA". The record is from RNAcentral. Lineage: Eukaryota; Fungi; Ascomycota; Eurotiomycetes; Eurotiales; Aspergillaceae.